Molecule: ribosomal RNA, 500 nt
Filed under: uncultured bacterium
Lineage: Bacteria
Description: partial 16S ribosomal RNA
Rfam family: Bacterial small subunit ribosomal RNA
Source: RNAcentral
AUUGAACGCUGGCGGCAGGCCUAACACAUGCAAGUCGAGCGGAUGACGGGAGCUUGCUCCUUGAUUCAGCGGCGGACGGGUGAGUAAUGCCUAGGAAUCUGCCUGGUAGUGGGGGACAACGUUUCGAAAGGAGCGCUAAUACCGCAUACGUCCUACGGGAGAAAGCAGGGGACCUUCGGGCCUUGCGCUAUCAGAUGAGCCUAGGUCGGAUUAGCUAGUUGGUGGGGUAAUGGCUCACCAAGGCGACGAUCCGUAACUGGUCUGAGAGGAUGAUCAGUCACACUGGAACUGAGACACGGUCCAGACUCCUACGGGAGGCAGCAGUGGGGAAUAUUGGACAAUGGGCGAAAGCCGGAUCCAGCCAUGCCGCGUGUGUGAAGAAGGUCUUCGGAUUGUAAAGCACUUUAAGUUGGGAGGAAGGGCAGUAAGUUAAUACCUUGCUGUUUUGACGUUACCGACAGAAUAAGCACCGGCUAACUCUGUGCCAGCCGCCGCCGUAA